Molecule: ribosomal RNA, 881 nt
Filed under: uncultured bacterium
Lineage: Bacteria
Description: bacterial SSU rRNA
Rfam family: Bacterial small subunit ribosomal RNA
Source: RNAcentral
UAACUCUGGAACUGCCAUCAAAACUUUUAGCUAGAGUAUGAUAGAGGAAAGCAGAAUUUCUAGUGUAGAGGUGAAAUUCGUAGAUAUUAGAAAGAAUACCAAUUGCGAAGGCAGCUUUCUGGAUCAUUACUGACACUGAGGAACGAAAGCAUGGGUAGCGAAGAGGAUUAGAUACCCUCGUAGUCCAUGCCGUAAACGAUGUGUGUUAGACGUUGGAAAUUUUUUUCAGUGUCUCAGCGAAAGCAAUAAACACACCGCCUGGGGAGUACGACCGCAAGGUUAAAACUCAAAUGAAUUGACGGGGACCCGCACAAGUAGUGGAGCAUGUGGUUUAAUUCGAAGAUACGCGCAGAACCUUACCAACACUUGACAUGUUCGUCGCGACUUUAAGAGAUUAAAGUUUUCGGUUCGGCCGGACGAAACACAGGUGCUGCAUGGCUGUCGUCAGCUCGUGUCGUGAGAUGUUGGGUUAAGUCCCGCAACGAGCGCAACCCUCACUUUUAGUUGCCAUCAUUUAGUUGGGCACUCUGAAAGAACUGCCAGUGAUAAGCUGGAGGAAGGUGGGGAUGACGUCAAGUCCUCAUGGCCCUUACGUGUUGGGCUACACACGUGCUACAAUGGCAUUUACAAUAGGAAGCAAGAUGGCGACAUUAAGCAAAUCCUAAAAAAAUGUCUCAGUUCGGAUUGCACUCUGCAACUCGAGUGCAUGAAGCUGGAAUUACUAGUAAUCGCGGAUCAGCGCGCCGCGGUGAAUACGUUCCCGGGUCUUGUACACACCGCCCGUCACACCAUGGGAGUUGGUUCUACCUUAAGGCAAAGCUUAUAAACUUUGACCACGGUAUAGUCAGCGACUGGGGUGAAGUCGUAACAAGGUAGCCGUA